Molecule: non-coding RNA, 54 nt
Organism: Salmo salar (Atlantic salmon)
Lineage: Eukaryota; Metazoa; Chordata; Actinopteri; Salmoniformes; Salmonidae
Source: Rfam
UGCUCUCACUACUGUAAGUUGCUCUGGACAAGAGCGUCUGCUAAAUUAUGUAAA